This 1107-nucleotide long non-coding RNA is filed under the name Cyanistes caeruleus (blue tit). RNAcentral's name for it is "lncRNA (ENSCCEG00000008867.1)". Lineage: Eukaryota; Metazoa; Chordata; Aves; Passeriformes; Paridae. The record is from RNAcentral.
GAGAUGUCAAAUGAUCAUGGCAGUUCUGCUUUCCCUGACCCUGACUUCGGCCCUAACAUUAGAAAGGGCCAUUCUCUGAAGCUGAGCAAAUUAAAAAUCAACCAAGGCUGAAAGGAGGCUUAUCUAGAACAUACAAAAACUGUGAAUUGUCAAGAAUGUUAAUGGGCUUUUGUCAGCAAGGAAUAAAAUGGACAUGAUACAAGUUUUUGCAAACAUCUCCUUCUCUUUACCGUACUAGCAGGACUUUUGAAGCCUGUGAAAGCAUUUAUUUCAAGGAAGAACCCACAUUCUUCUGCAAAUGGCCAAUCAUUAACUACAGGACCAUUUUUUUCCCUUUUUCCUAGUAUUUUUCUGUGAUUUUACAGGUAGCUUUGUUACUUCUGAGGGGCAUUGAAGAUUUUGGGAAAUGCAGUGAUCAAUGGCACAUUCUCUCAGACCGGGUUGUUAAUUCCAUGUCCAGAGCAGCAUAGCUGGCUGAACAGGAGGACAGAAAGGAGCACCUGCUGAGGUCUCACCUUUUGCCCAGCACUUCGACAAGACAGGAGAUCUGAGGCAGCUUUUGGAGCUGAGUUGUCCCCAGCCUCCUGUCCUUGGUUCUCCUCACUCAAAUCCAGGUUGAAUAUCUUCUCUAUUCAAGAUUGCUCAGUUCAAAGGCUACUCCACUAUCCCAGGAUAAAUAUUUUGAGAUGUCUUUAGGAUAUUUUGGCCCAAAGAUUUGGAAGAUUGCUCCCUGCACAGCCCCAAGGAGGGCCCAUGUGAGGCCUUGGCUGCACGAGAUGAGAAACUGACAGCUCGGUCACAGGAUGAAACCACCAAAGCUUCAAAGCUUCAAUCUGUGAUUACCUGCAAAUCAAACUUCCUUGGUUUUAUUGCUUUUCAUUCAAACUGUGAUGGAUGAGGUGAAGACCAGUUUCUGUGAACUGAGUGAUGAAAAGCAAUGGGCACCCAAGGGAGCCAGCUGGCCAAAAUUACUUUUCAUCAUAUUCUGGCAUGACUAGAUUAUUUUGUCAAUGACUGCAUUCAAGUGUUGCAGCUAAACCACACACUUAAGAUGUUUUUUUGCAUAUUUAUAAUAAAUAUUAUGUAUUUAUAAUAAAUAUAUAAUAA